RNAcentral lists this ribosomal RNA (451 nucleotides) under uncultured bacterium. Its description in RNAcentral is "partial 16S ribosomal RNA". It matches the Rfam family "Bacterial small subunit ribosomal RNA", at positions 29 to 523 of the family's 1533-position model. The record is from RNAcentral.
AACGAACGCUGGCGGCAGGCUUAACACAUGCAAGUCGAACGGGUGUAGCAAUACAUCAGUGGCGCACGGGUGAGUAACGCGUGGGAAUAUGCCCUUUGGUACGGAACAACCUCGGGAAACUGAGGCUAAUACCGUGUAAUAUCUGCGGAUCAAAGAUUUAUCGCCAAAGGAUUAGCCCGCGUUGGAUUAGGUAGUUGGUGAGGUAACGGCUCACAAAGCCGACGAUCCAUAGCUGGUCUGAGAGGAUGAUCAGCCACACUGGGACUGAGACACGGCCCAGACUCCUACGGGAGGCAGCAGUGAGGAAUAUUGGACAAUGGAGGAAACUCUGAUCCAGCCAUGCCGCGUGAGUGAUGAAGGCCUUCGGGUUGUAAAGCUCUUUUACCCCUGACGAUAAUGACGGUAAGGGGAGAAAAAGCCACGGCUAACUACGUGCCAGCCGCCGCGGUAA